GGCCUCGUAGCUCAGUUGGCUAGAGCGUUGGCUGUACUAAAGCCUUCCUCUCUCUGGCAUGGGUUCGAAUCCUACCGAGGCCG
Molecule: transfer RNA, 83 nt
Filed under: Schistocephalus solidus
Lineage: Eukaryota; Metazoa; Platyhelminthes; Cestoda; Diphyllobothriidea; Diphyllobothriidae
Rfam family: tRNA
About the family: Transfer RNA (tRNA) molecules are approximately 80 nucleotides in length. Their secondary structure includes four short double-helical elements and three loops (D, anti-codon, and T loops).
Source: Rfam by way of RNAcentral